AUUGAACGCUGGCGGCAGGCCUAACACAUGCAAGUCGAGCGGAUGAAGGGAGCUUGCUCCUGGAUUCAGCGGCGGACGGGUGAGUAAUGCCUAGGAAUCUGCCUGGUAGUGGGGGAUAACGUCCGGAAACGGGCGCUAAUACCGCAUACGUCCUGAGGGAGAAAGUGGGGGAUCUUCGGACCUCACGCUAUCAGAUGAGCCUAGGUCGGAUUAGCUAGUUGGUGGGGUAAAGGCCUACUAAGGCGACGAUCCGUAACUGGUCUGAGAGGAUGAUCAGUCACACUGGAAGGUGGACACGGUCCAGGCUCCUACGGGAGGGAGCAGUGGGGAAUAUUGGGCAGUGGGGGAAAGUCUGAUCCAGCCAGGCCGAGUGUGUUGAGAAGGUGUUCGGAUUGGAAAGCACGUUAAGGGGGGGUGAAGGGCAGUAGGUUAAUACCUUGCGGGUUUGACGGUACUGGCAGAAUAAGCACCGGCUAACUUCGUG
RNAcentral lists this ribosomal RNA (484 nucleotides) under uncultured bacterium. RNAcentral's name for it is "partial 16S ribosomal RNA". It matches the Rfam family "Bacterial small subunit ribosomal RNA", at positions 30 to 507 of the family's 1533-position model. The record is from RNAcentral.